AUUUGAGUAGUUUAUAGAAUAUUGUGCUGAAGACACAGGGGAAAAUUUUUAUUUCUUAAAUA
This 62-nucleotide transfer RNA is filed under the name Loxilobus prominenoculus. Its description in RNAcentral is "tRNA-Phe". Lineage: Eukaryota; Metazoa; Arthropoda; Insecta; Orthoptera; Tetrigidae. The record is from RNAcentral.